AAAACCAUUCUCAGUUCGGAUUGUAGGCUGCAACUCGCCUACAUGAAGCCGGAAUCGCUAGUAAUCGCGGAUCAGCAUGCCGCGGUGAAUACGUUCCCGGGCCUUGUACACACCGCCCGUCACACCACGAGAGUUUGUAACACCCGAAGUCGGUGAGGUAACCUUUUGGAGCCAGCCGCCGAAGGUGGGACAGAUGAUUGGGGUGAAGUCGUAACAAGGUAGCCGUAUCGGAAGGUGCGGCUGGAUCACCUCCUUUCUAAGGAA
RNAcentral lists this ribosomal RNA (264 nucleotides) under Heyndrickxia sporothermodurans. Its description in RNAcentral is "Bacillus sporothermodurans partial 16S ribosomal RNA". It matches the Rfam family "Bacterial small subunit ribosomal RNA", at positions 1278 to 1533 of the family's 1533-position model. The record is from RNAcentral. Lineage: Bacteria; Bacillati; Bacillota; Bacilli; Caryophanales; Bacillaceae.